This 76-nucleotide transfer RNA is filed under the name uncultured Clostridium sp. Its description in RNAcentral is "tRNA-Arg(cct)". It matches the Rfam family "tRNA". From Rfam's summary of the family: Transfer RNA (tRNA) molecules are approximately 80 nucleotides in length. Their secondary structure includes four short double-helical elements and three loops (D, anti-codon, and T loops). Further hydrogen bonds mediate the characteristic L-shaped molecular structure. tRNAs have two regions of fundamental functional importance: the anti-codon, which is responsible for specific mRNA codon recognition, and the 3' end, to which the tRNAs corresponding amino acid is attached (by aminoacyl-tRNA synthetases). tRNAs cope with the degeneracy of the genetic code in two manners: having more than one tRNA (with a specific anti-codon) for a particular amino acid; and 'wobble' base-pairing, i.e. permitting non-standard base-pairing at the 3rd anti-codon position. Lineage: Bacteria; Bacillati; Bacillota; Clostridia; Eubacteriales; Clostridiaceae. The record is from RNAcentral.
UGUCUCUGUAGCUCAGUGGAUAGAGCGAUGCCCUCCUAAGGCAUGUCAGCGGAGGUUCGACUCCUCUCAGGGACGG